This 99-nucleotide non-coding RNA is filed under the name [Eubacterium] cellulosolvens. RNAcentral's name for it is "Eubacterium cellulosolvens SAM-I sequence". It matches the Rfam family "SAM riboswitch aptamer (S box leader)". Rfam says of the family: The SAM riboswitch is found upstream of a number of genes which code for proteins involved in methionine or cysteine biosynthesis in Gram-positive bacteria. The record is from RNAcentral. Lineage: Bacteria; Bacillati; Bacillota; Clostridia; Eubacteriales; Eubacteriaceae.
CUCUUAUUCAGAGUGGCGGAGGUACAUAGGACCUGUGAAACCACGGCAACCCCGUUAAUGGAAGGUGCCUGCCUGAGCGAGAUUUUCGAACAAUAAGGG